AGUGAACGCUGGCGGUAGGCCUAACACAUGCAAGUCGAACGGCAGCACAGUAAGAGCUUGCUCUUACGGGUGGCGAGUGGCGGACGGGUGAGGAAUACAUCGGAAUCUACUUUUUCGUGGGGGAUAACGUAGGGAAACUUACGCUAAUACCGCAUACGACCUACGGGUGAAAGCAGGGGAUCUUCGGACCUUGCGCGAUUGAAUGAGCCGAUGUCGGAUUAGCUAGUUGGCGGGCUAAAGGCCCACCAAGGCGACGAUCCGUAGCUGGUCUGAGAGGAUGAUCAGCUACACUGGAACUGAGACACGGUCGAGACUCCUGCGGGAGGAAGCAGUGGGGAAUAUUGGGCAAUGGGCGAAAGCCUGAUCCAGCCAUACCGCGUGGGUGAAGAAGGCCUUCGGGUUGUAAAGCCCUUUUGUUGGGAAAGAAAAGCAGCAGGUUAAUACCCCGCUGUUCUGACGGUACCCAAAGAAUAAGCACCGGCUAACUUCGUG
Molecule: ribosomal RNA, 492 nt
Filed under: uncultured bacterium
Lineage: Bacteria
Description: partial 16S ribosomal RNA
Rfam family: Bacterial small subunit ribosomal RNA
Source: RNAcentral